GGGGCUGUCCCGGUUUUGACAGCAUAGAUCUUUGAAAGUGUAAGCAUGCAGUGCAUUGUGUAAUCAGCACUUUAAUCUUGAAUACUCAACCUAUAAAUGGCAAUACUCAGUAUGCCAUGGCUGCCUAAUCAGUGAUUAGUUAGUCAUUAGGGCCGCGGAUGCAGGUUGUCCUGUUACCAAGCUUCGCCGCCGACUCAAAAACAAAACAGGAUGCUGUUGUAGCGCGCUGGAGCUACAACAAAAGAUCACAGCUAAGUUGUAGAUUGGUUUGUUCGUUUCCUGUCUACAGCCGACAACUAAUAAUGAAAUAAGCAUGUAGAAAGCUUUUGCGGAAUAUGUUUGGACGCGGGUUCGAUUCCCGCCAGCUCCACUU
Molecule: transfer-messenger RNA, 373 nt
Filed under: Chitinophagaceae
Lineage: Bacteria; Pseudomonadati; Bacteroidota; Chitinophagia; Chitinophagales
Also listed under: 1 other name
Description: VBAT01 sp014379965 Standard tmRNA
Rfam family: transfer-messenger RNA
About the family: Bacterial tmRNA, also known as 10Sa RNA or SsrA, is named for its dual tRNA and mRNA-like properties. Its role is to liberate the mRNA from a stalled ribosome.
Source: RNAcentral